Molecule: long non-coding RNA, 674 nt
Organism: Clupea harengus (Atlantic herring)
Lineage: Eukaryota; Metazoa; Chordata; Actinopteri; Clupeiformes; Clupeidae
Source: Ensembl
GACAGCGUGUACCUUCCCUAGUAACCUACUACCUUAGUUACCGGUGCCCCUAAAAUAGACCAAGAUGGAGAAGGCCAGUAUGCCUUGGCUCUCCACGAAUACCCUCCUCCUCCUCAAACACCAAAGCAAAAGUUACAGAAUGCUCGCGCUGAAGUGCUCAAAAGGUGCACGAAAGGCGCUGAAGGCAGCGGUUUUUUUUUCUAAAAAAAGAAGUCAAGUCUGAACACGGCCAAUUUUCGUUGAAAGCGGUGAUAAAGAUGCUGCAAGUAUUACCAAUGAGCUAUUACCCUCAUUGACACGGGAAGACCUAAGAGACCUUAUGCCAGGGCCGGAGAAUUUUCUGAGGAGAAAACACAUUUGGGAAGCUGUCCAUUCAGAGGAAAGCUCAUCCUCUGAACCAGUCACGGAUAACAACAUACCCAAGACACAAGAAGUAACGCCAGAAAAAGUAAUAAAGAUAUGUAGUCCAGAGUAUGUUGUGUACACAGAUGCAGAGCUUGAGCAUGUGCGCAAAUACUACUUUGAACUUCAUCGCAAUGGGCAAGCACAUGAGUGUGUUAUGUCCAAAGAGCUGCGAUGUCGCUUGGUCAGAAAUACUAUUACUUCAAUGAUUUCAAUUGUACGAGGCUAUGACAUGAAGGAAAGAAGAGAUUGGGGAGAGUAUCCCUCCCGUG